RNAcentral lists this transfer RNA (74 nucleotides) under Sphaerodactylus townsendi. RNAcentral describes it as "tRNA-Pro". It matches the Rfam family "tRNA". From Rfam's summary of the family: Transfer RNA (tRNA) molecules are approximately 80 nucleotides in length. Lineage: Eukaryota; Metazoa; Chordata; Lepidosauria; Squamata; Sphaerodactylidae. The record is from RNAcentral.
GGAGGGUUGUGGCUCAAUAGAAGAGUCUCUGCUUGGGUUGCAGAAGGUUCCAGGUUCAAUCCCCGGCACGUCCA